CAAUUAUCUCUCAGAAUGGGUGUUAUAAAGGAAAUGUAAUGGAUAAGGAUUUUUUUUCUACACUUUGCUUGAGCAUUUCUUUUUCUCUAGUGAUUAGUUUUGCUGCAUCUGUGUUUGCCUAAGAACCUGAAGCUAAAAUAAUUAGUAACAGGUGGCUGAGGUCUUACUGAUAAUCUGCCUGCCUUUUAGUUGUACUUCUAUAAAAGGCUUUCAGUUGUAUCCCCCACUCCCCUUCUGGUUCUUUUCCAUUUUUAACAAGCUGUAAUGAGAAAUUAUCUCUGUAUGGUACAUUCUUUGGGCUUGUUUGAUUCUAGGGGUGGUUUUAUUUUAACACUUUAAGUGUUAUGGUAGAUAUUUUACCCUUUAGUUAUAACAAACCAUGCUUCAUCUCUUCCUGUAAUAUAGGUGUUUUUGGGGUAAUUGUUUUCUAAGGGUAUUGCUGCAUCGCUGUCUUAUUCUGUUUUUACAUGCGUUCUUGCCUAAUUUUGCUCACAGAAAUUUUUGGUGGGCUUUCCUUUACUAGCUGUUCCCUGAAUUUUUCAGAUCCUUUUCUGCUGAGUAUGGAGGUCUUAAGCAGCAACAAUGAUGAAAACAAAAUCAAAGAAAAAAGAAGCCACCAAACACAGGAGAGCCUGACCAGGUACAAAGAGUGAGAAUGGAGAGGCAAGAAUGGUAAUAGGAUCUGGCAGAAAUGGAGUUUCUUAGAGAAGAUCAGGAGAGAAAACUGAGGGCCAUAAAGUCGAAUGCUCAUAUUGCAUUUUCCAUAAGACACCUCU
RNAcentral lists this long non-coding RNA (776 nucleotides) under Anser brachyrhynchus (Pink-footed goose). RNAcentral's name for it is "lncRNA (ENSABRG00000004737.1)". The record is from RNAcentral. Lineage: Eukaryota; Metazoa; Chordata; Aves; Anseriformes; Anatidae.